This 447-nucleotide ribosomal RNA is filed under the name Triticum aestivum (bread wheat). Its description in RNAcentral is "partial small subunit ribosomal RNA". Lineage: Eukaryota; Viridiplantae; Streptophyta; Magnoliopsida; Poales; Poaceae. The record is from RNAcentral.
AUGAGGAGGCCUGCUGGCGUGGGAGCUCGGUGGGCGCCGGCGCUGGCCCUUGCGCUGGCCAUGGCAUUGGCGUCGUGCUCGUGCGUGACCCAUGGCGCCAGAACCACACCAAGUUCAGGCGCCGACGGCCUACGACCUGGCCGUGAGGCGACGCCGUCCGGAACCGCAGGCCGGGACGACAACGACGGAGGGCAGGCGGCAUCACCGUCCCAUCAGGAGAAGCGGGGCCAGGCGACGCGGGAGGGGGAGGAGGAGCAAGGGAUGAUGACGCUCAAGGAGCGAGCGGUGACGGGGUCGCGGCUGCCGGACUGCGCGCACGCGUGCGGGGCGUGCGCCCCGUGCAAGCGGGUCAUGGUCAGCUUCCGGUGCGCCGAGGCCUCCGAGUCGUGCCCCAUCGCCUACCGCUGCAUGUGCCGCGGCAGGUUCUUCCGCGUCCCCACCCUCUAG